RNAcentral lists this ribosomal RNA (379 nucleotides) under uncultured bacterium. Its description in RNAcentral is "bacterial SSU rRNA". It matches the Rfam family "Bacterial small subunit ribosomal RNA", at positions 97 to 511 of the family's 1533-position model. The record is from RNAcentral.
GGCAGACGGGUGAGUAACGCGUGGGAACGUACCUUUCGGUUCGGAAUAACCCAGGGAAACUUGGGCUAAUACCGAAUGCGCCGGAAACGGGAAAGAUUUAUCGCCGAAAGAUCGGCCCGCGUCGGAUUAGCUAGUUGGUGGGGUAAUGGCCUACCAAGGCAACGAUCCGUAGCUGGUCUGAGAGGAUGAUCACCCACACUGGGACUGACACACGGCCCACACUCCUACGGGAGGCAGCAGUGGGGAAUAUUGGACAAUGGGCGAAAGCCUGAUCCACCCGUGCCGCGUGAGUGAAAAAGGCCUUAGGGUUGUAAAGCUCUUUCAGCGGGGACGAUUAUGACGGUCCCCGCAAAAGAAGCCCCGGCUAACUUCGUGCCAG